CCUGUGCCAUAGUAGCAACUAGAGCCACAGCAAUGACAAUGUCAGAUCCUUAACCGGCUGAACCACCAGGGAACUCCUGACAUUUAUUUAUUUAUUUAUUUAUUAUCGCUGCACCCACAGCAUAUGGAAGUUCCCAGCAGGCUAGGUGUUGACUCGGAGCUGCAGCUGCAGGCCUACACCACAGCCACAGCAACACCAAUCCUGCUGCUUGCAGUAGCAUGGAACCCUUAACCCAGAAAUAAGUUUUGUUUUCAAGUUCCAGUCACAGCAGGCUCCCGCCUCUCAGGGUCUCUGUGAUUCUCUAAACUGCCAACUUCUUACAAUAUUAUUUCUAAUUUGGAGUUCCCUUCAUGGCUCAAAGGGAGCGAAUCUGACCAGUAACCCUGAGGAUACAGGUUCGAUACCUGGCCUCACUCAGUGGAUUAAGGAUCUGGCAUUGCCAAGUGAACUGUGGUGUAGGUUGCAGAUGAAGCUCAGAACCCGCAUUGCUGUGGCUGUGGUGUAGGCUGGCAGCUGUGGCUCUGAUUUGACCCCUAGCCUGGGAACCUCCAUAUGCUGCAAGUGCAGCCCUAAAAAGACAAAAAAAAAAAAAAAGAAGAAGACUCAAACAAUUUUGCAGGCGACCCUUAAGUUAUUCUUUGGUGUUCUGUUUUUUAGGUAAAGUUGUCUCAGUUCAUCUUUCCUCCUAAUACGUGAUCUAUUGACUCUCCAAUUGUUUCUGCUCAAAGCAAGAUCUCAUUGGUUGUUUUUGUGCAAAGUUGAUGCAGUAGAUAGAGCCCUCGAGGCAGACUAUGCCCGCAGCCUUCUGGACAACCUUGAACAGGACUCUUUUCUUCUCUGGGCUUUGGUGUCCUCAUCUGUUAAAUGAAAGAGUUAUGCUAGGUGAUCUCCAGAGUCUCUGAAAGCACAAACUUUUUUUUUUAAGUGCUGCACCCACGGCAUAUGGAUUCCUAGGCUAGGGGUCUAAUCACAGCAAUGCCAGAUCCGAGCCACAUUUACCACGUACACACCACAGCUCACGGCAACGCCGGAUCCUCAACCCACUGAGCAAGGCCGGGGAUAGAACCCACAACCUCAUGGUUCCUAGUCGGAUUCGUUAACCACUGCGCCACAAUGGGAACUCCCAACUUUAAUUUUUUAAAUUAAAAUAGAGUUGAUUUACGCCAUGUUUCGUAAACUUCAGCCAACUUUAAUUGUUUAAAUUAAAAUAUAAUUGAUUUACAAUGCUGUGUUUCAAGUGUACAACAAAGUAUAUUCUUUUCCAGAUUCUUUUCCAUUAUAGAUUAUUAUAAGAUAUUGAAUACAAUUCCCUGUGCUAUGCAGUAAGUAAACCUUGGGUGUUUAUCUAUCUGAUAUACAGUGGUGUGUAUAUGCUAAUCUCAUACUCUCACUAUAUAUAUACAUGUAAUACCUGGUAGCACAGCCAGGGGUUGGAAAAAAAACCUGACCGACGACCACUAGCCCACAUCUGUGGUUCACCUUUCCCCGUCUCCAUUUCCCAUGGG
This 1505-nucleotide long non-coding RNA is filed under the name Sus scrofa (pig). Its description in RNAcentral is "lncRNA (ENSSSCG00050060493.1)". Lineage: Eukaryota; Metazoa; Chordata; Mammalia; Artiodactyla; Suidae. The record is from RNAcentral.